CAAACAUAGUGGCGGACGGGUGAGUAACGCGUGAACAAUCUGCCCUAUACAAAGGAAUAGCCUCGGGAAACUGGGAUUAAAACCAUAUAACACUUUUAGGCCGCAUGGCUUGGAAGUCAAAUUGAUUAAGAGGUAUAGGAUGAGUUCGCGUCUGAUUAGCUAGUUGGUGAGGUAAUGGCUCACCAAGGCGACGAUCAGUAGCCGGCCUGAGAGGGUGAACGGCCACACUGGAACUGAGACACGGUCCAGACUCCUACGGGAGGCAGCAGUGGGGAAUAUUGCACAAUGGGCGAAAGCCUGAUGCAGCAACGCCGCGUGAGUGAUGAAGGCCUUCGGGUCGUAAAGCUCUGUCAGGGGGGAAGAAAAUGACGGUACCCAAGGAGGAAGCCCCGGCUAACUACGUGCCAGCAGCCGCGGUAAUACGUAGGGGGCAAGCGUUAUCCGGAUUUAUUGGGUUUAAAGGGUGCGUAGGCGGCUUUUUAAGUCAGUGGUGAAAUCCUGCCGCUUAACGGUAGAAUUGCCAUUGAUACUGAAAAGCUUGAGUACAUUUGAGGUAAGCGGAAUGUGUAGUGUAGCGGUGAAAUGCUUAGAUAUCACACAGAAUAUCAAUUGCGAAGGCAGCUCACAAAGCCAUUAUUGACGCUGAGGCACGAAAGUGUGGGGAUCAAACAGGAUUAGAUACCCUGGUAGUCCACACCGUAAACGAUGAUAACUCGCUGUCGGCGAUAAACAGUCGGUAGCCAAGCGAAAGCGAUAAGUUAUCCACCUGGGGAGUACGACCGCAAGGUUGAAACUCAAAGGAAUUGACGGGGGCCCGCACAAGCGGAGGAACAUGUGGUUUAAUUCGAUGAUACGCGAGGAACCUUACCUGGGCUUAAAUGUAGGCUGCAUUCGGCUGAAAGGCUGAUUCCCUUCGGGGCUGCUUACAAGGUGCUGCAUGGUUGUCGUCAGCUCGUGCCGUGAGGUGUCGGCUUAAGUGCCAUAACGAGCGCAACCCUUGUCGUUAGUUGCCAUCAAGUAAUGUUGGGGACUCUAGCGAGACUGCCACCGUAAGGUGUGAGGAAGGGGGGGAUGACGUCAAAUCAGCACGGCCCUUACGUCCGGGGCGACACACGUGUUACAAUGGUAGGUACAGAGGGCCGCUAUCCAGCGAUGGAAUGCGAAUCUCAAAAACCUAUCUCAGUUCGGAUCGGAGUCUGCAACUCGACUCCGUGAAGUUGGAUUCGCUAGUAAUCGCGCAUCAGCCAUGGCGCGGUGAAUACGUUCCCGGGCCU
RNAcentral lists this ribosomal RNA (1274 nucleotides) under uncultured bacterium. RNAcentral's name for it is "bacterial SSU rRNA". It matches the Rfam family "Bacterial small subunit ribosomal RNA", at positions 87 to 1381 of the family's 1533-position model. The record is from RNAcentral.